This 84-nucleotide transfer RNA is filed under the name Felis catus (domestic cat). It matches the Rfam family "tRNA". Rfam says of the family: Transfer RNA (tRNA) molecules are approximately 80 nucleotides in length. Their secondary structure includes four short double-helical elements and three loops (D, anti-codon, and T loops). Lineage: Eukaryota; Metazoa; Chordata; Mammalia; Carnivora; Felidae. The record is from Rfam by way of RNAcentral. RNAcentral also lists the same sequence under 1 other name.
GCCUGGGUGGCUCAUUUAGUUAGCAUCUGACUUUGGCUCAGGUCAUGAUCUCGCGGCUCGUGGGUUCGAGCCCUGCCUUGGGCU